AUGCCCAAGUUUUCCGGAAGCAAUGAUCCCGAAGAGUAUCUAUCAUGGGCAUUGAAGGUUGACAAAAUCUUCCGCUUGCACAACUAUGAGGAAGAGAAGAAGAUCGGGAUGGCAUCCCUUGAGUUCCAAGACUACGUCCUCAUUUGGUGGGAAAAAGUCAUUGAGCACCACGAGGCAAGAGGCGAACCACCCAUCACUACUUGUGAUGAGGACAUCAAUACCAUUGUUACACCCACAACCCCUGCCGCUAUACAUACUGGACCAAUUACUAGAGCUCGCACACGCCAAUUGAAUUAUCAGGUACUUUCGUUUCUUGGUAAUGAUUCUAAUGUUCAUGAGAAUAUGAUGCUGCCUAAAUUGGAUACAUUUGUUUUGCUUACAAAUGAAGGGCCUGGUAUGGUAAGAGGGAUGAACACUGGAGCAAGACCAAGCAUGGAGAGGAUGGCAUGCGCAAGGGGAACAAGAACGGAGUUACAAGUGAUGAUUUUAGGACUUUGA
This 498-nucleotide ribosomal RNA is filed under the name Triticum aestivum (bread wheat). Its description in RNAcentral is "partial small subunit ribosomal RNA". Lineage: Eukaryota; Viridiplantae; Streptophyta; Magnoliopsida; Poales; Poaceae. The record is from RNAcentral.